UAAACAGGAUCACCCCUCUUUUAGCCAAACCAUCACGGUACGAUGUAUCUUGAACAUAGCUAGUAGGAGCUGGCAAUCAGGGGAGCAGCCAGCGAUGCAUACAUGGGCACGUCAUACUCUGGAUAGAUGUGCGGCAGUGGGAAAUCGAGUGAAGUUCUUCUCCAGUCCGCCGCCCAGGCAAGCCUCUUCCACCUAUCUCUAUUGCCAAUUCCCCACCGAAGACCAAAACCUAAAUCCAUGGCCGGUGUUGAGAGAGCCGACCAAGCACCAUGUAGCAGGAUUAGGGAGGGACGGACACCACCGGAGCCCAAACAGAGGAGCAGGGAGUUUACCUGGAUUGGAACCACUGCUCUCGGGUUCGCGGGUGACCACUUCUAUGGACAUCCGUCAGGCGGAGACAAUCGACAAGCAACAACAGGCCGUGGUGGACACUCUGAAUACUAGGGGGCAUCGCGGGGCGUUCGUCUUGGAGCUCGCCAAACCUGUCGGCAACCGUUGUCCACACUGGCGCUGGUGAGGAAAAUCAUCUGGAGCUUAGGCGACCAAAGUCCUCUCAGGCACAUUACUACUGUCCCCAAGUGCCCACCCAUUCAGUUGAAUCUUCUUUGGAGUUCUUAUGGUUGAAUUGAAUCUUCUACAUUGACCUUCAAUGAUUUUGAUUGCGCUCCUGAGUAUCUCAGGCAAGUCCAUUCUUGCACAUCCUUGAUUAUUUUUAUCAAAGUAUUUGUCAAUCUAUUAUUAUGUAUCACCUGCAUCAAACAAAAAUAUAUCUUAUAAAUAAUAUGACAUGCAUGUUGAUCGGCUGAUGGAGCAGCCGGUGAACUAUUAUGGCUGGUAGUCGAACCCUGUGUGGAGGCUGUGAAGCCAUUGGAAGGCGGGUUCGACUACAAGGGAUAUCACCAUUAGGAUCUAAUCAACAAUUGCCUUCUUGAGCUCAAGCGCCGUAGUGACCGCGUUGACCAUAUGACCCUGACUGGGAAGGGCGGAGCUGAAGUAAUUCCAUCUUACGGCAUAUCUCCCAGGGAUGGCAGUUGGGGUGUGACCUCUACUAUAGGCGACCAACUGUCUAAACAAACUAAAGGCCUCUACUGAAGGCAUUAAACUGAUUGGGCGGGUAGCUGGUUUUGCCAGCUAGAUGUGAGAUAUGUCAAAGAAGGGAGUGUGAAUGGGGCUAGCUACCUCAGGAACACCACCAUGGGCGUCCGUGGGUAAAGUAACGCACCUCUGCAGAGUGUAUAAAAUUGUGGCAUUGUCACUCCCUGUUCCGGGAAGGAGCUGCGAACGGGGCGAGAAAGGAAUCCACAGGGGAUUCUAACAGCUCGUGAGGCAAGAAGAUCAUAGAUUUCAGAAUAAAACUUGAACUCUUUCAUCAUAAAUGUUUUCGAAAAUUUGUGAGUUGAUGGACCAUUGGUCCUAGUAGUUGAUAGUGCAUGAAAACUGUUUUGUUAUAUAUCCUAGACUUGUUGAUUACUUCGUGUACUCAUCCCCUCCUACAAAAUCUCCCUUCUUAGAUUGUGAACCAGUAGAUGCGGGAGUGGAUUACCCAGAUGUCCAGGAGGAGGAGUUCGAGAAGAAGAAAACCAUCGAAGGAGGAGUCAACUACUACAUGUACUUCAAUGAGCAGGCUAGUAUUGAUCCAUAGAGUUAGUAGUGUAGAUUACAGGAAGGGAGUACUUGAGAGUCCUUCGUUGUAGUAUAACCUCAGGUUAAGAUUUCCUUGUUCUUUUGGAGUUCUUUUUGUUGUAGUUGGUAGCGGAACCUUGUAAUAUGUUCCAGUUUGAAGCUUCUUCGAAUCUUGUAAUAUAAUUUCGUACUUUGGACCGCUCCAGUUGCUUAUGUUGUGCUACUCUGAUCGGCAUAUUGUUCGAGAUACUUCA
This is a long non-coding RNA of Lolium perenne, 1877 nucleotides long. RefSeq lists it as uncharacterized. The record is from RefSeq and is a predicted model, not a curated record. Lineage: Eukaryota; Viridiplantae; Streptophyta; Magnoliopsida; Poales; Poaceae.